RNAcentral lists this ribosomal RNA (425 nucleotides) under uncultured bacterium. RNAcentral describes it as "bacterial SSU rRNA". It matches the Rfam family "Bacterial small subunit ribosomal RNA", at positions 356 to 773 of the family's 1533-position model. The record is from RNAcentral.
GGGGAAUUUUGGACAAUGGGCGCAAGCCUGAUCCAGCCAUGCCGCGUGUCUGAAGAAGGCCUUCGGGUUGUAAAGGACUUUUGUCAGGGAGCAAAUCCUGGUGGCUAAUAUCCACCGGGGAUGAGAGUACCUGAAGAAUAAGCACCGGCUAACUACGUGCCAGCAGCCGCGGUAAUACGUAGGGUGCAAGCGUUAAUCGGAAUUACUGGGCGUAAAGCGUGCGCAGGCGGACUUUUAAGCCAGAUGUGAAAGCCCCGAGCUUAACUUGGGAAUUGCGUUUGGAACUGGGAGUCUAGAGUCUGUCAGAGGGGGAUGGAAUUCCACGUGUAGCAGUGAAAUGCGUAGAGAUGUGGAGGAACACCGAUGGCGAAGGCAGUCCCCUGGGAUAAGACUGACGCUCAUGCACGAAAGCGUGGGGAGCAAAC